RNAcentral lists this ribosomal RNA (252 nucleotides) under uncultured Bacteroidales bacterium. RNAcentral's name for it is "partial 16S ribosomal RNA". It matches the Rfam family "Bacterial small subunit ribosomal RNA", at positions 524 to 776 of the family's 1533-position model. The record is from RNAcentral. Lineage: Bacteria; Pseudomonadati; Bacteroidota; Bacteroidia; Bacteroidales.
UACGGAGGAUGCGAGCGUUAUCCGGAUUUAUUGGGUUUAAAGGGUGCGCAGGCGGUCUGUUAAGUCAGCGGUCAAAGCCCGGGGCUCAACCCCGGCCCGCCGUUGAAACUGGCAGUCUCGAGUUGGAGAGAAGUAUGCGGAAUGCGCGGUGUAGCGGUGAAAUGCAUAGAUAUAACUUAGAACACCGAUAGCGAAGGCAGCUUACCAGACUGAGUCUGACGCUGAUGCACGAGAGCAUGGGUAGCGAACAGG